AACGCUGGCGGCAGGCUUAACACAUGCAAGUCGAGCGGAGAUGAGGUGCUUGCACCUUAUCUUAGCGGCGGACGGGUGAGUAAUGCUUAGGAAUCUGCCUAUUAGUGGGGGACAACAUUCCGAAAGGAAUGCUAAUACCGCAUACGUCCUACGGGAGAAAGCAGGGGAUCUUCGGACCUUGCGCUAAUAGAUGAGCCUAAGUCGGAUUAGCUAGUUGGUGGGGUAAAGGCCUACCAAGGCGACGAUCUGUAGCGGGUCUGAGAGGAUGAUCCGCCACACUGGGACUGAGACACGGCCCAGACUCCUACGGGAGGCAGCAGUGGGGAAUAUUGGACAAUGGGGGGAACCCUGAUCCAGCCAUGCCGCGUGUGUGAAGAAGGCCUUAUGGUUGUAAAGCACUUUAAGCGAGGAGGAGGCUACUGAGACUAAUACUCUUGGAUAGUGGACGUUACUCGCAGAAUAAGCACCGGCUAACUCUGUGCCAGCAGCCGCGGUAAUACAGAGGGUGCGAGCGUUAAUCGGAUUUACUGGGCGUAAAGCGUGCGUAGGCGGCUUUUUAAGUCGGAUGUGAAAUCCCCGAGCUUAACUUGGGAAUUGCAUUCGAUACUGGGAAGCUAGAGUAUGGGAGAGGAUGGUAGAAUUCCAGGUGUAGCGGUGAAAUGCGUAGAGAUCUGGAGGAAUACCGAUGGCGAAGGCAGCCAUCUGGCCUAAUACUGACGCUGAGGUACGAAAGCAUGGGGAGCAAACAGGAUUAGAUACCCUGGUAGUCCAUGCCGUAAACGAUGUCUACUAGCCGUUGGGGCCUUUGAGGCUUUAGUGGCGCAGCUAACGCG
Molecule: ribosomal RNA, 833 nt
Filed under: Acinetobacter sp.
Lineage: Bacteria; Pseudomonadati; Pseudomonadota; Gammaproteobacteria; Moraxellales; Moraxellaceae
Description: bacterial SSU rRNA
Rfam family: Bacterial small subunit ribosomal RNA
Source: RNAcentral